AGAGUUUGAUCAUGGCUCAGGAUGAACGCUAGCUACAGGCUUAACACAUGCAAGUCGAGGGGCAGCAUGUUGGUUGCUUGCAACCAACGAUGGCGACCGGCGCACGGGUGAGUAACGCGUAUCCAACCUACCCUUGUCCAUCGGAUAACCCGUCGAAAGGCGGCCUAACACGAUAUGCGGUUCACGGCAGGCAUCUAAGGUGAACGAAAUGUGAAGGAGAAGGAUGGGGAUGCGUCUGAUUAGCUUGGUUGGCGGGUAACGGCCACCAAGGCUACGAUCGAGUAGGGGUUCUGGAGAGGAAGGUCCCCCACAUUGGAACUGAGACACGGUCCAAACGUCCUACGGGAGCA
This 350-nucleotide ribosomal RNA is filed under the name uncultured bacterium. Its description in RNAcentral is "bacterial SSU rRNA". It matches the Rfam family "Bacterial small subunit ribosomal RNA", at positions 8 to 350 of the family's 1533-position model. The record is from RNAcentral.